CCUACGGGCGGCAGCAGUGGGGAAUAUUGGACAAUGGGGGAAACCCUGAUGCAGCGACGCCGCGUGAGUGAAGAAGUAUUUCGGUACGUAAAGCCCUAUCAGCAGGGAAGAAAAUGACGGUAUCUGACGAAGAAGCCCCGGCUAACUACGUGCCAGCAGCCGCGGUAAUACGUAGGGGGCAAGCGUUAUCCGGAUUUACUGGGCGUAAAGGGCGCGUAGACGGCAGAGCAAGUCUGGUGUGAAAUGCCAGGGCUCAACCCUGGAACUGCACUUGAAACUGUUAAGCUGGAGUGCAGGAGAGGUAGGUGGAAUUCCUGGUGUAGCGGUGAAAUGCGUAGAUAUCAGGAGGAACAC
RNAcentral lists this ribosomal RNA (354 nucleotides) under uncultured bacterium. RNAcentral describes it as "partial 16S ribosomal RNA". It matches the Rfam family "Bacterial small subunit ribosomal RNA", at positions 338 to 709 of the family's 1533-position model. The record is from RNAcentral.